Molecule: ribosomal RNA, 506 nt
Filed under: uncultured bacterium
Lineage: Bacteria
Description: partial 16S ribosomal RNA
Rfam family: Bacterial small subunit ribosomal RNA
Source: RNAcentral
AGUGAACGCUGGCGGUAGGCCUAACACAUGCAAGUCGAACGGCAGCACAGGAGAGCUUGCUCUCUGGGUGGCGAGUGGCGGACGGGUGAGGAAUACAUCGGAAUCUACCUUUUCGUGGGGGAUAACGUAGGGAAACUUACACUAAUACCGCAUACGACCUACGGGUGAAAGCAGGGGACCUUCGGGCCAUGCGCGAUUGAAUGAGCCGAUGUCGGAUCAGCUAGUUGGCGGGGUAAAGGCCCACCAAGGCGACGAUCCGUAGCUGGUCUGAGAGGAUGAUCAGCCACACUGGAACUGAGACACGGUCCAGACUCCUACGGGAGGCAGCAGUGGGGAAUAUUGGACAAUGGGCGCAAGCCUGAUCCAGCCAUACCGCGUGGGUGAAGAAGGCCUUCGGGUUGUAAAGCCCUUUUGUUGGGAAAGAAAUCCAGCUGGCUAAUACCCGGUUGGGAUGACGGUACCCAAAGAAUAAGCACCGGCUAACUUCGUGCCAGCCGCCGCAGUAA